ACGAACGCUGGCGGCGUGCUUAACACAUGCAAGUCGAACGGAGUCCAUCUGUUAGCAAUAACAGGGAAGACUGAGUGGCGAACGGGUGAGUAACACGUGAGAAACCUGUCCCGGUCUCUGGGAUAACAGUCGGAAACAACUGCUAAUACCGGAUGACGUCGGAGCAUCGCAUGGUGCGCUGACGAAAGGGUUACUGGAUCGGGAGGGUCUCGCGGCCUAUCAGCUAGUUGGUGGGGUAAUGGCCUACCAAGGCAUCGACGGGUAGCUGGUCUGAGAGGAUGAUCAGCCACACUGGGACUGAGACACGGCCCAGACUCCUACGGGAGGCAGCAGUGGGGAAUCUUGCGCAAUGGGCGAAAGCCUGACGCAGCAACGCCGCGUGCGGGAAGAAGGCCUUCGGGUUGUAAACCGCUUUCAGAAGGAACGAAACUGACGGUACUUUCAGAAGAAGGUGCGGCCAACUACGU
This 467-nucleotide ribosomal RNA is filed under the name uncultured bacterium. RNAcentral describes it as "bacterial SSU rRNA". It matches the Rfam family "Bacterial small subunit ribosomal RNA", at positions 29 to 506 of the family's 1533-position model. The record is from RNAcentral.